UCCUACGGGGGGCAGCAGUGGGGAAUUGUUCGCAAUGGGCGCAAGCCUGACGACGCAACGCCGCGUGGAGGAUGAAGGUCUUCGGAUUGUAAACUCCUGUUGAUCGGGACGAAAAGCUUCGACCUAACACGUCGGAGACUGACGGUACCGGUUGAGGAAGCCACGGCUAACUCUGUGCCAGCAGCCGCGGUAAUACAGAGGUGGCAAGCGUUGUUCGGAAUUACUGGGCGUAAAGGGCGCGUAGGCGGCCUUCUAAGUCGGACGUGAAAGCCCCAGGCUUAACCUGGGAACUGCGUCCGAUACUGGAAGGCUUGGAUUCGGGAGAGGGAUGUGGAAUUCCAGGUGUAGCGGUGAAAUGCGUAGAUAUCUGGAGGAACACCGGUGGCGAAGGCGGCAUCCUGGACCGACAUCGACGCUGAGGCGCGAAAGCUAGGGGAGCAAACGGGAUUAGAUACCCCGGUAGUC
This 465-nucleotide ribosomal RNA is filed under the name uncultured bacterium. RNAcentral's name for it is "bacterial SSU rRNA". It matches the Rfam family "Bacterial small subunit ribosomal RNA", at positions 337 to 795 of the family's 1533-position model. The record is from RNAcentral.